GUUGAGAGACAGGGGCGCCCGUUUGUGGGAAUGGGCUGAGAAGCACCCUUCGAACCUGAACCGGAUAAUGCCGGCGGAGGGAGUCGCUCGGGUCGAAGC
This 99-nucleotide non-coding RNA is filed under the name Rhizobium sp. Its description in RNAcentral is "TPP sequence". It matches the Rfam family "TPP riboswitch aptamer (THI element)". From Rfam's summary of the family: Vitamin B(1) in its active form thiamin pyrophosphate (TPP) is an essential coenzyme that is synthesised by coupling of pyrimidine and thiazole moieties in bacteria. The previously detected thiamin-regulatory element, thi box was extended, resulting in a new, highly conserved RNA secondary structure, the THI element, which is widely distributed in eubacteria and also occurs in some archaea. The record is from RNAcentral. Lineage: Bacteria; Pseudomonadati; Pseudomonadota; Alphaproteobacteria; Hyphomicrobiales; Rhizobiaceae.